GCUGAUAGGGCUGCUUUAGCAGGCUACUGUGAUAUAGUAGUUGUAGAAAUUUAUUCUCGUCGGUA
This 65-nucleotide transfer RNA is filed under the name Plagiorchis elegans. RNAcentral's name for it is "tRNA-Ile". Lineage: Eukaryota; Metazoa; Platyhelminthes; Trematoda; Plagiorchiida; Plagiorchiidae. The record is from RNAcentral.